GCGAGAGUAGUACUAGGAUGG
Molecule: non-coding RNA, 21 nt
Filed under: Arabidopsis thaliana (thale cress)
Lineage: Eukaryota; Viridiplantae; Streptophyta; Magnoliopsida; Brassicales; Brassicaceae
Source: RNAcentral